AACGAACGCUGGCGGCAUGCCUAACACAUGCAAGUCGAACGAGACCUUCGGGUCUAGUGGCGCACGGGUGCGUAACGCGUGGGAACCUGCCCUUAGGUUCGGAAUAACUCCCCGAAAGGGGUGCUAAUACCGGAUAAUGUCUUCGGACCAAAGAUUUAUCGCCUUUGGAUGGGCCCGCGUUGGAUUAGCUAGUUGGUAGGGUAAAAGCCUACCAAGGCGACGAUCCAUAGCUGGUCUGAGAGGAUGGUCAGCCACACUGGGACUGAGACCCGGCCCAGACUCCCACGGGAAGGCGGAGGGGGGGAAAUUGGAAAAAGGGGGGAAGGCUGAACCAGCAAAGGCGGGUUGAGGAAGAAAGGCUUAAGGGUGGAAAGCUUCUUUACCCGGGAUGAUAAUGACAGUACCGGGAGAAUAAGCUCCGGCUAACUCCGUG
This 433-nucleotide ribosomal RNA is filed under the name uncultured bacterium. Its description in RNAcentral is "partial 16S ribosomal RNA". It matches the Rfam family "Bacterial small subunit ribosomal RNA", at positions 29 to 507 of the family's 1533-position model. The record is from RNAcentral.